This is a long non-coding RNA of Electrophorus electricus (electric eel), 383 nucleotides long. Lineage: Eukaryota; Metazoa; Chordata; Actinopteri; Gymnotiformes; Gymnotidae. The record is from Ensembl.
UGUGUUUCUCUCUCUCUAUCUCUGUUACCCCCUACCUGUCCAGGAUCACAGCGGAUCAGUGAUGGCGAAUACUCUGACUAUGACUGCGAUGAUGGAGUCGGUGUGAUAGCAGAUUACCGGCCCAAUGGCAGAGAUUUCCAGAGCUCUACCCUGUCUGUUCCGGAGCAGGUCAUGUCAUCCAGUCACCGCUCCCGAUCUGAAAUGAUGCGCACGCGCUCUCGCUCUCCCAGUGUCCCACCCCCACAGAGUCGAAGUUUAGACCAUGGAGUGCGAGGAGCACCUUCCUUCUAUGCCUCCCGCCAUCGGCUGUCUGAAGACUGGUACUUUUCAGACAGGUAUGCCCUCACUCAGCCUGUAGUCCUGACCAGGGUGCUGCUACCAGU